RNAcentral lists this ribosomal RNA (442 nucleotides) under uncultured bacterium. Its description in RNAcentral is "partial 16S ribosomal RNA". It matches the Rfam family "Bacterial small subunit ribosomal RNA", at positions 338 to 795 of the family's 1533-position model. The record is from RNAcentral.
CCUACGGGAGGCAGCAGUGGGGGAUAUUGCACAAUGGGGGAAACCCUGAUGCAGCGACGCCGCGUGGGCGAAGAAGUAUUUCGGUAUGUAAAGCCCUAUCAGCAGGGAAGAAGAAAUGACGGUACCUGAGUAAGAAGCACCGGCUAAAUACGUGCCAGCAGCCGCGGUAAUACGUAUGGUGUAAGCGUUAUCCGGAUUUACUGGGUGUAAAGGGAGCGCAGGCGGCACGGCAAGCCUGAUGUGAAAGCCCGCGGCCAAACCGCGGGACUGCAUUGGGAACUACCGGGCUGGAGUGCCGGAGAGGUAGGCGGAAUUCCUAGUGUAGCGGUGAAAUGCGUAGAUAUUAGGAGGAACACCAGUGGCGAAGGCGGCAUACCGGCUCCACACUGACGCUGAGGCACGAAAGCGUGGGUAUCGAACAGGAUUAGAUACCCCUGUAGUC